UACGGAGGAUGCAAGCGUUAUCCGGAAUGAUUGGGUGUAAAGGGUCCGCAGGUGGCAAUGUGUGUCUGCUGUCAAAGAAUGAGGCUUAACCUCAUCAAGGCAGUGGAAACUACAUAGCUAGAGUACGGUCGGGGUAGAAGGAAUUCCUGGUGUAGCGGUGAAAUGCGUAGAGAUCAGGAAGAACACCGGUGGCGAAAGCGUUCUGCUAGACCUGUACUGACACUGAGGGACGAAAGCUAGGGGAGCGAAUGGG
RNAcentral lists this ribosomal RNA (253 nucleotides) under uncultured bacterium. Its description in RNAcentral is "partial 16S ribosomal RNA". It matches the Rfam family "Bacterial small subunit ribosomal RNA", at positions 524 to 776 of the family's 1533-position model. The record is from RNAcentral.